This 567-nucleotide long non-coding RNA is filed under the name Chinchilla lanigera (long-tailed chinchilla). RNAcentral's name for it is "lncRNA (ENSCLAG00000027993.1)". Lineage: Eukaryota; Metazoa; Chordata; Mammalia; Rodentia; Chinchillidae. The record is from RNAcentral.
UUGCCACAGUGACUCUGUAACCGGACGGCUGCGGAAGAGGCAAAGUAGCCCCAACCACGCAGAGCAAAGACAGCCUGGUCUAGAGCACAAGCGGUCCUCAGAGAGCAAUUGCCCUCCCAUUAUGCCUCUGCCUCUGGCAGCCACUGCUGAUGAUCAAAAGCUUUUAAUUGCUCUUUGCUGUAUUUAACAGAGAUUCCUGUCAUACACGAAAUUCCAGCUGAUCACAAAGAAGUCCUGUCCUAUGAAACCAGAGAUAAAAUAGGAAUUUGUCCAAGUCAGAGUUUGGAAAAAACCCAGAAUUCCAGGCUCGGCCUGAUGGUGUUUGCUCUCCGUGCUGCUUCUGGCCACAGACGAGAAGGACACAGUCAUAAAAUUGUGAAGAAGACAGUUAAGAUCCAUGCUGAUGGGAAAAGAGAAUCAGCUAUGCAUUGUACUCUACUGGACAGAGCCUUUCUGUGGCGCAGCGAGGAGUUAUUGAGGUGCAUAAUAAACAUAACCCGUGAACUACAUUCACAGCCAAGAUGUGCUUCAAUCUUUGAAGAGAAAAUUCCUAGAGUUUCUCAUUGA